Long non-coding RNA from Pieris rapae (cabbage white), 684 nucleotides. RefSeq lists it as uncharacterized. The record is from RefSeq and is a predicted model, not a curated record. Lineage: Eukaryota; Metazoa; Arthropoda; Insecta; Lepidoptera; Pieridae. The transcript is spliced from 3 exons.
AUUAAUAAUCUGUGCUAACUGCUGACGUUUAUUGUGACAUUUGACACGCCAUUGCAAAGAAAUGCCAAUAAUUUUUAUACAACAAUUAAAAUGGACGUCGGCGAACUAUUGUCUUUUAAGCCUACCCCAGCACCUAAGCGUCCUAAUGAAGAUGAACUUGGAGUUUCUGAUGAGGAAAGUGUACGUUCGAAAAAAAGGACGUCGAAGAGCAGUCGGUUCGGAAUUGGAAAGAUCUGCAAAGAUCCCAACCAUCAUCAUCUACCCAAAGAACCUGCUAUAACUGACAAUUUGUAGAAAAUGUUGUUACAGAGGAAUUUCAUCAUCACUAGUUGAAUCUCCAGAGUGACUUUGAUAACAGGCGCAAGUCACCGCCAAAUUGUCAGCAAUUGCCGACAUGGCUAAACCGUUUGAGAAGGAAGACAUGACUGAACCGUACGAGAAGGGAAAGGUACACUGAAAGACACGCGUAUCAGGAAAUGAUACAUCGGAAGAAAAGUGAGCGUCUAUAUUUGUAAAGCAAAAGCCGAUACACUGACAUGAUACAGCUUAUGCUAAGUAUGGACGUGUUUUUUACAAAAUACGCCUUAAAGAUACGACAUGGACAAAAUGAGCGUCCAUAUUUAUGAUACAAAUAGUAGAUACGAUACGACUGAUCGUGAUACGCCAACAUGCUACAAAUGUGGA